UCCCCAUGGAGUGAUUAGGGGGAGGAAUAGGGUCCUGGGGGGUGCCCGCAGGUGGAGGGAGCAGCAGGGGCAGGAAGGAGUCACGGCCACGGAGCAAGGGCUGGCGUGAGGUUUGCUGCUAAUUACACUUGGCCCAGGCAAACGCUAAUUAAGAGCUCAUUAGGGACCCGCGCUGGGAGCGCGUUCUCCUCGCCUGGCUCCGGGGAAAAGUGGCUGGGGACGGGGUGGGGGGACACGACCCCGACCUUCACCCACCCUACAGCAUCCCCAGAGGGGCGGUGGCACCCUCCCCACCCCCCUAUGGCCCCAAAACCCCAUCCCACCCCCUCCCCAUCCCAGUGCCCCCCAUUCCCAGUAGGGCAGACGAACUGGAACCAGUAGACUCUCCAAAAUGAUUAUCCACAAAGCAGCAUUUUUACCACCCCCACCCCGUGGCACCCCAAAAUCACGCGGAGACGGGCGCUUUGGUGACACGAGGGGUUUUGGGGUGGGGUCGUCCUCCCUCCCGGGCGCUUUGGUGACACGAGGGGUUUUGGGGUGGGGUCCCCCCCCACCCCGCUCACUUGGUUUUGCGCAGUUUGCUGUUCUCGGCCCGCAGCAGGUAGAGCUUCUUGGCGAAGCAGACGGUCAGCAUGAAGAGCAGCAGCAGCACCAGGGCGGCCGAGCCCACGGCCACGCACAGCACCUGGAAGUCGGUGACGAUGGCCUCGCAGCGCGUCCCCUUGUGCCACGUGUAGUCCUGCGUGUUGCACCUACGAGGGGGACGCGAUCAAGGUCCUCCCUCCCCCCAAAAAAAAAAAAAAAACCCCGUCCCCGGCACCAAAACCCCCCGUGCGCAGCCGAUAUCCGCGGAUUAGGGCAGCCGGCGGGGAUGGGAUUAGUGCGUGACCCCAUAAGGGGAUGGCACUGGGGGGGUUCCUGCCCCAAAAGCAGGGACAGCCCCGCUGGAGCCCUCCCCAUGUGUGUGUGUCCCCCCCCCGGUGCCAAUCCCGACAGGCGCCGCGGCCGGAGCCUCGUCCGCGCAGCCCUGACCCAAU
RNAcentral lists this long non-coding RNA (1037 nucleotides) under Anas platyrhynchos platyrhynchos (common mallard). Its description in RNAcentral is "lncRNA (ENSAPLG00000025504.1)". Lineage: Eukaryota; Metazoa; Chordata; Aves; Anseriformes; Anatidae. The record is from RNAcentral.